RNAcentral lists this ribosomal RNA (428 nucleotides) under uncultured bacterium. RNAcentral's name for it is "partial 16S ribosomal RNA". It matches the Rfam family "Bacterial small subunit ribosomal RNA", at positions 354 to 796 of the family's 1533-position model. The record is from RNAcentral.
GUGGGGAAUAUUGGUCAAUGGGGGAAACCCUGAACCAGCAACGCCGCGUGAAGGAAGAAGGCUUUCGGGUUGUAAACUUCUUUGACAGGGGACGAAACAAAUGACGGUACCCUGAAAACAAGCCACGGCUAACUACGUGCCAGCAGCCGCGGUAAUACGUAGGUGGCAAGCGUUGUCCGGAUUUACUGGGUGUAAAGGGCGUGUAGGCGGGACGGUAAGUCAGAUGUGAAAUGUAGGGGCUCAACACCUGAACUGCAAUUGAAACUAUCGUUCUUGAGUGAUGGAGAGGCAGGCGGAAGUCCGUGUGUAGCGGUGAAAUGCGUAGAUAUACGGAGGAACACCAGUGGCGAAGGCGGCCUGCUGGACAUUAACUGACGCUGAGGCGCGAAAGCGUGGGGAGCAAACAGGAUUAGAUACCCUUGUAGUCC